UUGAGAGCAGUUCGGAGUUGACUUUUUAACUACUCUGGGAAUGUUGUUUCCAGCACGUCUCAGAAACCCCGUUGCCAUCUGAAAGGCCCCCUUCCCUGCUCUCUCCCCCGGCCUUGCCUUUCAUGGGCUGUCUCUGACCCUGGCUUCUCUGCCUUGUGGAGACCCUGCCAGCGAGGGGUCUGGCGGCUUAGCUGCCCCUUGCGCACCCCACCCGGUUAGACCCAGGGCUCGGCACGCUCUCCUGAGACUGGGCACAGUGAUGCCAUCUGCGCCACUGACUCUCUCUUCCCCUGGCUUGCCAGGACUUGAUCAUCUUCCCUGACGACUGUGAGUUCAAGCGGGUGCCGCAGUGCCCCAGCGGGAGGGUCUACGUGCUGAAGUUCAAGGCAGGGUCCAAGCGGCUUUUCUUCUGGAUGCAGGAACCCAAGACAGACCAGGAUGAGGAGCAUUGCCGGAAAGUCAACGAGUAUCUGAACAACCCCCCGAUGCCUGGGGCGCUGGGGGCCAGCGGAAGCAGCGGCCACGAACUCUCUGCGCUAGGCGGUGAGGGCGGCCUGCAGAGCCUGCUGGGAAACAUGAGCCACAGCCAGCUCAUGCAGCUCAUCGGACCAGCCGGCCUCGGAGGACUGG
RNAcentral lists this small RNA (630 nucleotides) under Pan troglodytes (chimpanzee). Its description in RNAcentral is "processed transcript". The record is from RNAcentral. Lineage: Eukaryota; Metazoa; Chordata; Mammalia; Primates; Hominidae.